Molecule: ribosomal RNA, 863 nt
Filed under: uncultured marine bacterium
Lineage: Bacteria
Description: bacterial SSU rRNA
Rfam family: Bacterial small subunit ribosomal RNA
Source: RNAcentral
AGAGUUUGAUCCUGGCUCAGGAUGAACGCUGGCGGCGUGCUUAACACAUGCAAGUCGAACGAACCUUUCGGGUUAGUGGCGGACGGGUGAGUAACGCGUGAGAAUCUGCCCUCAGGAGGGGGAUAACGGUUGGAAACGACCGCUAAUACCCCAUAUGCCGAGAGGUGAAAUGAAUUUCGCCUGAGGAUGAGCUCGCGUCUGAUUAGUUAGUUGGUGGGGUAAUGGCCUACCAAGACAUCGAUCAGUAGCUGGUCUGAGAGGAUGAUCAGCCACACUGGGACUGAGACACGGCCCAGACUCCUACGGGAGGCAGCAGUGGGGAAUUUUCCGCAAUGGGCGAAAGCCUGACGGAGCAACGCCGCGUGAGGGAUGAAGGCCUCUGGGCUGUAAACCUCUUUUAUCAAGGAAGAAGAUCUGACGGUACUUGAUGAAUAAGCCACGGCUAAUUCCGUGCCAGCAGCCGCGGUAAUACGGGAGUGGCAAGCGUUAUCCGGAAUUAUUGGGCGUAAAGCGUCCGCAGGCGGUCUGUCAAGUCUGCUGUUAAAGCGUGGAGCUUAACUCCAUUUCGGCAGUGGAAACUGACAGACUAGAGUGUGGUAGGGGCAGAGGGAAUUCCCGGUGUAGCGGUGAAAUGCGUAGAUAUCGGGAAGAACACCAGUGGCGAAGGCGCUCUGCUGGGCCAUAACUGACGCUCAUGGACGAAAGCCAGGGGAGCGAAAGGGAUUAGAUACCCCUGUAGUCCUGGCCGUAAACGAUGAACACUAGGUGUCGGGGGAAUCGACCCCCUCGGUGUCGUAGCCAACGCGUUAAGUGUUCCGCCUGGGGAGUACGCACGCAAGUGUGAAACUCAAAGGAAUUGACGG